UACAGAGGUCUCAAGCGUUGUUCGGAUUCAUUGGGCGUAAAGGGUGCGUAGGUGGCGCCGUAAGUCAGGUGUGAAAUCUCGGGGCUCAACCCCGAAACUGCACUUGAUACUGCGGUGCUCGAGUACUGGAGAGGAGAUUGGAAUUUACGGUGUAGCAGUGAAAUGCGUAGAUAUCGUAAGGAAGGCCAGUGGCGAAGGCGGGUCUCUGGGCCGAUACUGACGCUGAGGAGCGAAAGCGUGGGGAGCGAACAGG
Molecule: ribosomal RNA, 253 nt
Filed under: uncultured bacterium
Lineage: Bacteria
Description: partial 16S ribosomal RNA
Rfam family: Bacterial small subunit ribosomal RNA
Source: RNAcentral